This is a long non-coding RNA of Mus musculus (house mouse), 5250 nucleotides long. RefSeq annotates it as predicted gene, 26691. The transcript has 2 exons. The record is from RefSeq and is a predicted model, not a curated record. Lineage: Eukaryota; Metazoa; Chordata; Mammalia; Rodentia; Muridae.
GGUCUGAGGGAGCUGAAGAAGUUUGCAGCCCCAUAGGAGGAACAACAAUAUGAACCAACUUUGAGGUGGUCUUUUAGGGACAAGUGAUGGAUUGAGCUUUCCUAUUCUGCUUUCAACCCUCUCUCUAAAUUAUGGAAAAUAUUUAUAAAUAACUUGUUUAUUUUUUGCCUUUUGCUUUUUUCUAUUCUCUCUCUAAAACCUACACGUUAAACUAUUAACUUUUCAGAGUUAUGCCAAUUUCAUUACCGGUCUGUCUACCGUAUCUUUCCUUAGUUUGGAGAGGCUUGUUAUGUUUUAUUAUUUAAUCUCUUAGAGAAAUCUGUGUCUCUGACAUUAUUUCCUACAACAUUAUUGUGUCCAUUUUUUUCAGUCUUAAUUCUUAUUUAAAAUUUGGAGCAGCUUCACCAUUUAUAUGAAGAUUUAACAUGACUUUUUUAAAUUUUACUUUUCUUUAAGGAUUUCUUUACUUUCUGAGUUCUUACGUCAUUCCCCAAAAUCCGUUUACUGUGUGUUUAUUUGGCUGUUCAAUUGUAUUGAACUUGCAAGACCAGAAUAUUGCUUGAUUGUGUAUGGACUUAUUUACUGAUUCUUUAUUUAGAAAAACAAACAAACAAAAAAAAACCAAAAACAAAACAUUGGCUGGAUCACUUUAGGAGAGGAUCUGCUGUGUUUAAUGCCUCUGUGACUCUUUCUCCUGAAAUGAAACAUCUGUUCUCUUAUAUAGAUGGUAUGGGCCAGGAUGCUCAGAUUCAAGUAGGAUGGGGUCUGAGAGUCUCACCUGAUUUUUUUUCAAAGAUUUUUUUUUAGCCAUAGAUAUUAUUUCAUCAUGACAUUCUCUACCUUCAGCUCUAUUUCUUUGUUGUAGAUGCAAUAACAGUUAAAACACUCAAUUGGCGGGAGAUGUUGUAGUACAUCUUCUUGAAAUUGGGGAUGUAAAAUGUGCCUCAAUCUUCAUGGCAAGGACAAUACAGGAACAAGGGAUCUGCAAGAAGAAUUUUAAUCAACUUGAUCUACCAGUGGCACGUGGUGCGUAAUGUAUCAGCAUCAGAUCAUAACAGCACAUCCUAGAACGUCAUCAGGAACAUGUGGAGGUCAGAUGACAAUUCUCGGGAACUGGUUUUCUUCUUCUACCAUGUAUGUUCCAGGUGUAGAACUCAGGCAGUCAGACAUGGUGGAAAGCCUUUAUUUAAGGUCAUUUUUCAAACAUGAUUUUUGUUUUAGGUUGAAUUCCCUUCUCAUUUUGAUAGAAUAAAGAAUGCCUGAUCCAAUAUUAUUAAAUUAUAUCUAAUUAUGAAUUUAUGAUAACUAUAACAGCAAUGACCAGGUCAAGAAGAUUAGCUGCUAAGUCUUUCCUUGAAUCUAUCCCAAAGUACUUGUUAGUUACAAUAGCUAACAUUUCUCAAGGGCUCAGUAUAUCAUAGGCUAGGUUUUAAGGGAUUCAUACGUAAAAGUAUAUUAACCCAUUAAAACCAUGCAAGGAAGUGACAUUAUAACACAAACAUCAGGCUCCAGAUUCCAGUUUCCGAAUCAAAAACCUAUCAUAUCCCUGCAUUUGACUGAUACCAUUGUUGCUGUUGCGUUACAAAAGGUAAUUAAGAAAGGGUUCUAAAACAUGAGCUCUUCCAGAUCCAAAAUGGGAAACUGAGGCCCCCCUACAACAUCCCUAGAAGGUUCUCUUUCAACUUUGAUGAGCUGUCAUACUCAAAAUUCAGCUGCCAUUCCCCGUGGUCAGGCAGAGCCAGCAUCAGCUCAGAGUGGAAUCAAAGCAGGGAGCGGGGUUUCCAGGCAAUUGCAGCAGUAACCUCGACCUGACAGCCUCAGUUUCCAUCUUGUUCUGUCCCUGGUUUCCUCAUACAAAUCUUUUCUGCCCCUUUCAAGCAUCUUCUUGUGGCUUCACACGAUGAAAGAAAAAUUAAAACCUGUUUCCCGAGGCCAGAAAUAAGCCACCUUUACAAGUUGAUAUCUGUGUAUUGUUUCCUUAAACUCCUACCCCUCCAGUUCUUAAGUAAAUGAAGGUUGCAUGCUCUCAGGAGGUAAAUUAAAAUAGUGUUUUCUUCUGUUUACUUGUCAUUCUGGAAAAUCUGUGCUUCCUUUUGAUAAAUAAAUAAACGAAACGAAAACGAGUUUUGCGAAGCCAAGGUCAAGAGAUCCUUUUCUCACUUCUCUCGGCUGGAAAAUCAUGGUCGCUCUUCACUGGGCUACUCCAGCAGCAGCAGCAGCAGCAGCAGCAGCAGCAGCAGCAGCAGCAGCAGCAGCAGCAGCAGGUGACUGUCAGCUAAGUCAAGCACCAAGGACAAGGAGUUCCUCUUUUCUUCAUACUGCUUUCUGUGCAGAAGCAGCUGAAGGUCACAUCCUGGAAACUAGGAUCCAUCUUCUUGAGGAAAAAAGUGAAAUGUUAAAAGGAUUUUAUGAUCGGGUAAGAGCAGAUCGUUGGGCAAUUAGAACGAUUAGAAGUUGACACGGCACAAGACCCAGGUUAAGUGUGUCUCAGAAAUCCGGGAGAGAAGCACAGAAGACAGGAAAUGACUUCUGCAGCUUUUCCUCAUGGCGUGCUCAAGAAGCUGAACCAGCAGUGUUUAGUGGCUCAGCACAGGGUAUUGAAAAGAAAUCCCAAGGACCUUUCAAAAUCUGCUUAGCAAAAAUCCGAAUCAUGGCCAGAAAGCAAGUAGUGCCUGCCAUUGUUUUGCCACCUAAAGACAUGCACGACCUGGGUGGAGUUAACGUUAGCUCUACAAUGAAAAGUAUCGGAACAUGCAUUCGUAAUUCUACAUAGGUGAACGUGGAAGUUGGUCACUUUUUCUAAAAUUCUUAUAUACUGCUCCUCAAAAACUCAAAACUGCCAUGCUGCAUUCAAUGAGGCAGGAAUAUAAACAAGAGUAAACCUGAACUACCUCUAGACUGAAAAAUAGGUUAGCAUGUAAAAUGGAAAGGAACCAUCCUCACAGAUCCUGGUCCAGUUUUUAUUGUCAAAGAGUCAUCAUGACCAUCACCAUCACCGUCACCUUUACAGUCACACUCACCAUCACAGUCACCGUCAUCAUCAUCAUCAUCAUCAUCACCAACAGCAUCAGCAUCAUUAGUGUCACCAUCAGUGUCAUCAUCGUCAUCAUCGUCAUCACCAUCAUCACCAACAUCAUCAUCAUCAUAAUCACCAUCAUCACGAUCAUCACCAACAUCAUACACAGAGAUGAAAUGGUAAGAAAGGAGAAGGAUGACAAGAGUUGCUCAGUCUCAGGGUCUAUAGAUUUCACACGUGUACCUGUGCACACGCCCUGGCAUGCAUGUGAGGAUCUAACUAUAACUUUCAGGAGUCAGUUCUCCUACCUUGUAAGUUCCAGGGAUCAAACUAAUGCCAUCAGGCUUUGCUGCAAGCAUCUUUAUGCAUUAUGUUGUCUCACCCGUUUAUUAUUAUUAUUAUUAUUAUCAUCAUCAUCAUCAUCAUCAUCAUCAUCAUCAUUAUCAUUAUUAUUACUAUCCAAUGUUAGCGGAUGUGCUUAGAAUGAGCAACUGCGUCACCCUCUAAGCUUUAGCUAUGUUUCUCUGAAGGAAAUAAAAUGUAAAUAUUCACUAAACUGGGGAGUUAAAACUUGAAGAAUAAAUUGUGUUAUUUGUCUCCUAAUCAUUUAAGAACUGCAUUACAUUUUCUUUGCCCUUUCUCUUCUUGACUCCUAUAAAUGUGUACUGGAUUUCCUUGACAGAUUGGAAGAUUUAAUGUUAGAACUUGCAUAUAUCUCAUGACUGGUUUCAAGAAAUCUUCCUUCACUUGGUAUCCAUGUGUAGUGUUGCCCGAGCUAAAGUGCCUGGAGGUCUCAGAGAUAUAGAAAUACGGAGGAACAUCACAACAUGAGCAAGUCAAGGAAAGGUGAACUACAGAAAAAAGUGAUGUUUUCCAGGUGAAGGUGAAAUGAGAAAGAUAUUUAAACAUAAAACCUAAUCUCCAAAAUCAAUCAGGGAGAUGAGGUCACGGAGAGAAGCACAGAAACAACAUGACCAGGCCGCUUCCAUCAGUGUGGAUUUUCAUAUCUCGUUUUUACCAAACCCUGGCACGGUUACUGAAUUUCAUUCCUAAAACUCUGUUAAGAUGUAAAGAAAAAAAGCAGGAAGUAGAAUGAACAUAGGGGAGAACUAGUAGCUUAGGAGAAGGAUGUAAUUAGAGGGUUAUACAUUUGUUGAGUUUUUGAAUAAUUACCAGAAGUCAUAGAAUCCCAAAAUGAUAAUUCCGUUGCUUGUGAAAAUAAAACUGUAAGAUGAAAUGACGAUUGUGAAGAGAGUGGACAGUCGUGGGGUGAUUUACUCCAUUUAGCUCAGAGGGAACACAAGGGAUACAUGUCACUUAUGAAAGACAUAAGCUUAUUGUUCUGGGAACUGCCCUGUGUGGUUCAGCUCUAAUCUGCUUCAUUAUUUACUGAUUUUGAACACACCAAAGGGAGGCUUUUCAAGUAUAUCAAAAUCUAUUCUUGUAUUCUCUUCUCCAUAUUUUUUUGUUAAUAUUAUCUCAGUUUUCUUAUGAUGCAACAAUCAUAGCUGAAUUGUUUGGAAGAAAAUUUCUCUAAUAAUAGGAUGUAGUAUAUCAUAGAAUAUGAUGUGUCCGCUAUACUUGGGUUAUCUCCUAUUGUGUCAUCACUAACUACAGGAGAAAAGUCUUUAUUCCUGAAAGAGGGGAAUGUUAGAAACUCCCUGAGAAAAUACAGGUGUUUGCCUGGAAUGAGAUGGGACAUGGAAGUGAUGAGAUGGGAGCUAUGAGGGGCUCUGUAAGAUAGGAACACUGAUGAGCAUCUUAUAUUUCAUGGGCCACAGUACUAGAAGAGGGCUUGAGGCACAAUAGAGAGUUCUCACACUUGAACCUUGGCUCACAAAACGUCUAUGUUUAUAAGUCAGCCAUUAGAAAAAUGAUUAUUCUAUCUACUUUAUUCUGAAAACUGGCUCUCUACUGAAAUGAAAAUUUAUUUUUGCAUGCUACCUACUGUUGCUACUAGCUGUGUAAAUAAAUUUAAAGCCAGAGUAGAUUAUACCAUCAUUACUAAAUUUUGUUAAAAUAAUUAUUCAUUAUGAAUUCAAAAAUAAUUGGACUGAAAAAAACUAUUCAUCAUGACUUUGCAAAUAAGCCUAGAAUCUGAGUCACUUUAACCCUCAAAGAAGUAGUGAAAAUGAGUAUGUAUAUGUAUAAUAUAUGUAUAUAUAUAUUUGUAUGAAUGUGUGUGUGUGUGUGUGUGUAAUUGACUUCAGCAAAAUAAACUUCUAUGCCAGAAA